This 288-nucleotide long non-coding RNA is filed under the name Coffea arabica (coffee). Its description in RNAcentral is "long non-coding RNA (CARA_LNC008178)". Lineage: Eukaryota; Viridiplantae; Streptophyta; Magnoliopsida; Gentianales; Rubiaceae. The record is from RNAcentral.
UAAAUUUAUGUUCGGGUCAGUCCCGUUUAAAUUCUGUUCGGGUCAGUCCCGUUUAAAUUCCUGUUCGGAUCAGUCCCGUUUAAAUUCCUGUUCGGGUCAGUCCCGUUUUAUUUUUCAUGUUCGGGUCAGUCCCGUUUAAAUUCCUGUUCGGGUCAGUCCCGUUUAAAUUCCUGUUCGGGUCAGUCCCGUUUAAAUUCCUGUUCGGGUCAGUCCCGUUUUAUUUUUCAUGUUCGGGUCAGUCCCGUUUAAAUUCCUGUUCGGGUCAGUCCCGUUUAAAUUCUGUUCGGG